Molecule: ribosomal RNA, 614 nt
Filed under: Ostracion cubicum (yellow boxfish)
Lineage: Eukaryota; Metazoa; Chordata; Actinopteri; Tetraodontiformes; Ostraciidae
Description: Ostracion cubicus (yellow boxfish) partial small subunit ribosomal RNA
Rfam family: Bacterial small subunit ribosomal RNA
Source: RNAcentral
GUUGUUAGUCACCGGCGUAAAGCGUGGUUAAAAAUAUACUUCACUAAAGCCGAAAACUUUCAAAGCUGUUAUACGCAUCCGAAAGUAAAAAGACCAAUAACGAAAGUAGCUUUACUUAUUUGAACCCACGAAAGCUACGGCACAAACUGGGAUUAGAUACCCCACUAUGCCUAGCCGUAAACAUUGACAGUAAAAUACAACUACUGUCCGCCCGGGUACUACGAGCAUCAGCUUAAAACCCAAAGGACUUGGCGGUGCUUUAGAUCCACCUAGAGGAGCCUGUUCUAGAACCGAUAACCCCCGUUAAACCUCACCCUUCCUUGUUUCCCCCGCCUAUAUACCACCGUCGUCAGCUUACCCUGUGAAGGCCCUAUAGUAAGCAAAAUUGGCACAGCCCAAAACGUCAGGUCGAGGUGUAGCGUAUGGAAGGGGAAGAAAUGGGCUACAUUCACUUCCUUAGUGAAUACGAACGAUGCAUUGAAACAUACAUCUAAAGGAGGAUUUAGCAGUAAGCAGAAAAUAGAGUGUUCUGCUGAAACUGGCCCUGAAGCGCGCACACACCGCCCGUCACUCUCCCCAAGCUCCCUUAAAUCAAGUAACUAAGCACACACAAC